ACAGGCUUAACACAUGCAAGUCGAGGGGCAGCAUGGUCUUAGCUUGCUAAGGCCGAUGGCGACCGGCGCACGGGUGAGUAACACGUAUCCAACCUGCCGUCUACUCUUGGACAGCCUUCUGAAAGGAAGAUUAAUACAAGAUGGCAUCAUGAGUCCGCAUGUUCACAUGAUUAAAGGUAUUCCGGUAGACGAUGGGGAUGCGUUCCAUUAGAUAGUAGGCGGGGUAACGGCCCACCUAGUCUUCGAUGGAUAGGGGUUCUGAGAGGAAGGUCCCCCACAUUGGAACUGAGACACGGUCCAAACUCCUACGGGAGGCAGCAGUGAGGAAUAUUGGUCAAUGGGCGCAGGCCUGAACCAGCCAAGUAGCGUGAAGGAUGACUGCCCUAUGGGUUGUAAACUUCUUUUAUAAAGGAAUAAAGUCGGGUAUGUAUACCCGUUUGCAUGUACUUUAUGAAUAAGGAUCGGCUAACUCCGUGCCAGCAGCCGCGGUAAUACGGAGGAUCCGAGCGUUAUCCGGAUUUAUUGGGUUUAAAGGGAGCGUAGAUGGAUGUUUAAGUCAGUUGUGAAAGUUUGCGGCUCAACCGUAAAAUUGCAGUUGAUACUGGAUAUCUUGAGUGCAGUUGAGGCAGGCGGAAUUCGUGGUGUAGCGGUGAAAUGCUUAGAUAUCACGAAGAACUCCGAUUGCGAAGGCAGCCUGCUAAGCUGCAACUGACAUUGAGGCUCGAAAGUGUGGGUAUCAAACAGG
Molecule: ribosomal RNA, 745 nt
Filed under: uncultured Bacteroidales bacterium
Lineage: Bacteria; Pseudomonadati; Bacteroidota; Bacteroidia; Bacteroidales
Description: bacterial SSU rRNA
Rfam family: Bacterial small subunit ribosomal RNA
Source: RNAcentral